CCUACGGGAGGCAGCAGUGGGGAAUUUUGGACAAUGGGGGCAACCCCUGAUCCAGCCAUGCCGCGUGAGUGAAGAAGGCCUUCGGGUUGUAAAGCUCUUUCAGCCGGAACGAAACGGUU
This 119-nucleotide ribosomal RNA is filed under the name uncultured bacterium. Its description in RNAcentral is "partial 16S ribosomal RNA". It matches the Rfam family "Bacterial small subunit ribosomal RNA", at positions 338 to 455 of the family's 1533-position model. The record is from RNAcentral.